UAGACCUACGGGACGCAGCAGUGGGGAAUAUUGGGCAAUGGGCGCAAGCCUGACCCAGCAACGCCGCGUGAAGGAAGAAGGCUUUCGGGUUGUAAACUUCUUUUAUGAGGGACGAAAGAAAUGACGGUACCUGAAGAAGAAGCAUCGGCUAACUCCGUGCCAGCAGCCGCGGUAAUACGGAGGAUGCGAGCGUUAUCCGGAUUUAUUGGGUUUAAAGGGUGCGUAGGCGGAAUGCCAAGUCAGCGGUAAAAUCGCGGGGCUCAACCUCGCUCCGCCGUUGAAACUGGCGUCCUUGAGUGGGCGAG
Molecule: ribosomal RNA, 305 nt
Filed under: uncultured bacterium
Lineage: Bacteria
Description: bacterial SSU rRNA
Rfam family: Bacterial small subunit ribosomal RNA
Source: RNAcentral